Molecule: unclassified non-coding RNA, 195 nt
Filed under: uncultured Basidiomycota
Lineage: Eukaryota; Fungi; Basidiomycota
Description: sequence contains ITS2
Source: RNAcentral
GAAUUCUCAGAGCCCCCCUCCCUAUCUUUUGGCGAGUGGGUUUGGAUUGGUGGAGGAUGCACUGCUGCUGCCCCUAUAGGGCCAACUUUGCUCCUCUGAAAUGGAACAGUGUUAUGGCACAAACCGGUCGUCGGUAUGAUACUCCUUACCGGCUCCCAAACCAUGCCUAGCUGCAUUCAUUGUCUUUGUGGACAA